Long non-coding RNA from Oncorhynchus tshawytscha (Chinook salmon), 379 nucleotides. Lineage: Eukaryota; Metazoa; Chordata; Actinopteri; Salmoniformes; Salmonidae. The record is from Ensembl.
GGGCUAUUAUUUGAAUCUUGUGCUGAGUUACAAACAUUUGUUUUUGAUAGCAUGGCUAGAUCUAUACAUUAACAACAUCUGUAAGGGAAGGUGUCUGUCUGUAGGUGUCUGUCUGUAGGUGUCUGUCUGUAGGUGUCUGUAGGGGAAGGUGUAUGCCUGUAGGUGUCUGUCUGUAGGUGUCUGUCUGUAGGUGUCUGUGGGGGAAGGUGUCUGUCUGUAGGUGUCUGUCUGUAGGUGUCUGUAGGGGAAGGUGUAUGCCUGUAGGUGUCUGUCUGUAGGUGUCUGUCUGUAGGUGUCUGUAGGGGAAGGUGUUUGUCUGUAGGUGUCUGUCUAGGUGUCUGUCUGUAGGUGUCUGCCUGUAGGUGUCUGUCUGUAGGUG